RNAcentral lists this ribosomal RNA (1372 nucleotides) under uncultured bacterium. Its description in RNAcentral is "bacterial SSU rRNA". It matches the Rfam family "Bacterial small subunit ribosomal RNA", at positions 28 to 1381 of the family's 1533-position model. The record is from RNAcentral.
GAUGAACGCUGGCGGCGUGCCUAAUACAUGCAAGUCGAGCGAACGGACGAGAAGCUUGCUUCUCUGAUGUUAGCGGCGGACGGGUGAGUAACACGUGGAUAACCUACCCAUAAGACUGGGAUAACUUCGGGAAACCGUAGCUAAUACCGGAUAAUAUUUUGAACCGCAUGGUUCAAAAGUGAAAGACGGUCUUGCUGUCACUUAUAGAUGGAUCCGCGCUGCAUUAGCUAGUUGGUAAGGUAACGGCUUACCAAGGCAACGAUGCAUAGCCGACCUGAGAGGGUGAUCGGCCACACUGGAACUGAGACACGGUCCAGACUCCUACGGGAGGCAGCAGUAGGGAAUCUUCCGCAAUGGGCGAAAGCCUGACGGAGCAACGCCGCGUGAGUGAUGAAGGUCUUCGGAUCGUAAAACUCUGUUAUUAGGGAAGAACAUAUGUGUAAGUAACUGUGCACAUCUUGACGGUACCUAAUCAGAAAGCCACGGCUAACUACGUGCCAGCAGCCGCGGUAAUACGUAGGUGGCAAGCGUUAUCCGGAAUUAUUGGGCGUAAAGCGCGCGUAGGCGGUUUUUUAAGUCUGAUGUGAAAGCCCACGGCUCAACCGUGGAGGGUCAUUGGAAACUGGAAAACUUGAGUGCAGAAGAGGAAAGUGGAAUUCCAUGUGUAGCGGUGAAAUGCGCAGAGAUAUGGAGGAACACCAGUGGCGAAGGCGACUUUCUGGUCUGUAACUGACGCUGAUGUGCGAAAGCGUGGGGAUCAAACAGGAUUAGAUACCCUGGUAGUCCACGCCGUAAACGAUGAGUGCUAAGUGUUAGGGGGUUUCCGCCCCUUAGUGCUGCAGCUAACGCAUUAAGCACUCCGCCUGGGGAGUACGACCGCAAGGUUGAAACUCAAAGGAAUUGACGGGGACCCGCACAAGCGGUGGAGCAUGUGGUUUAAUUCGAAGCAACGCGAAGAACCUUACCAAAUCUUGACAUCCUUUGACAACUCUAGAGAUAGAGCCUUCCCCUUCGGGGGACAAAGUGACAGGUGGUGCAUGGUUGUCGUCAGCUCGUGUCGUGAGAUGUUGGGUUAAGUCCCGCAACGAGCGCAACCCUUAAGCUUAGUUGCCAUCAUUAAGUUGGGCACUCUAAGUUGACUGCCGGUGACAAACCGGAGGAAGGUGGGGAUGACGUCAAAUCAUCAUGCCCCUUAUGAUUUGGGCUACACACGUGCUACAAUGGACAAUACAAAGGGCAGCGAAACCGCGAGGUCAAGCAAAUCCCAUAAAGUUGUUCUCAGUUCGGAUUGUAGUCUGCAACUCGACUACAUGAAGCUGGAAUCGCUAGUAAUCGUAGAUCAGCAUGCUACGGUGAAUACGUUCCCGGGUCU